This is a long non-coding RNA of Rosa rugosa (rugosa rose), 2389 nucleotides long. RefSeq lists it as uncharacterized. The transcript has 3 exons. The record is from RefSeq and is a predicted model, not a curated record. Lineage: Eukaryota; Viridiplantae; Streptophyta; Magnoliopsida; Rosales; Rosaceae.
CUCUCUUUUUUCAAUUUCUUUCUGCUUUUCUCUCUCUCCCUCUCCACAGAUCGAUCUUCUCUCCCUUUUUUCAAUCUUCCACAGCCAGCAAUGGCGGACAGAAAGAAAUCUAAGAAACCCACAAACAACAACAUCGAGCAUGUAAUAACCGAGUUUUGUCUUCUUUAAGCAAAGUGAAAUGGUGGCAAACACCUUUGAUUUAAAGGUAGGGUAUUCCGUGAUUUAAGCAUUAGUGGAUCAAUCAAGACCGGUGCUUUAUUUGCUUACGUGUUUAUGCAUAAUUGAAAAUCAUUCAACAAAGAAAGCAGAAGAAAUCUCACUCUCUCUCUCUCACGGCCGAACCCAGCAAAAACAGAGCACGGAUUCUUCGAUCUCUCUCUCCCUCCUCAGGCCACCUCAAGACGUCGAACCACCUCUAUUAGCCUCGCCUAGACCUUGCACUGCUGCAGUGGCAUCCUUGCACCGCGGCACAACCGGAAAACGGCGGCGGAAACACGGUUUCGUUUUAAAACCCGAUUGGGUCCAAUUGUGAUAACUCGAGCUACAGGCCAUCAAUCCUCACCAAACUUCAUCCUCGAGCUCGCCUCAACUUCCUGAAGCUCCCAGAAGCAGCCUCACACGGCGGCGUGGCCCGUAGCAGUGGCUACAAGUCAAACCCAACCAAGAACGAAACCGGAGCUAUCGAUCCAAAUAUCUUGAGCUACAGGAUGUCGUUUUGAGUGAUUCUUGAACCAGUGAGCUCGCCUUGAAGUUCUGAACAACUCUCCAGAAGGAAUCGAAGCGUUUCGUUGAAGUUUUUACGUCGGAAUUCAAGCUCGCCGGAUUCUGGAAAUUUUCCGGCCACCGACGCUUUCGAUCAAGAUAUCUUGAGCUGUAGAGCUUCGUUUUGAGUGAUUCUUGAACCAGUGAGUUCGUCUUUAAGUUCUGAACAAGUCUCCUGAAGGAAUCGAAGCGAAAGGAGGACAUUUUUACGUUGAUCGGAGCUUCGCCGGCUUCUGCAAAUUCUCGCCGGUUUUUGGAAAAAUUCCGGCCACCUCGACUGUUUUAGGUGAUUGACGGUCUUCCUUGGGUGAGCGAUUUCGGUGUGUAUUGUGUUGAAUUGAAGACGCAGCGGGAAUAUCGAGCGGGUAAUCCUACAGGUCAGGCGAAUCGGGAAGGUGAUCGAGCUGCUUAGAGAAAUUGCAUUGGGUAAAUCUGGAUUUAUAUUGUGAGGUUUAUUAUGCUCUUUUGAGUAUUGUAAAUUAAGUUGUGAGAGUGUGAUGUAAUAAGUAAAUUGAAGAUUGGUUUUUGUAAUAUUGAGAGGUGUGAAGUGUGGUUGUUUGUGAGAAAAAAAUUCAGGACGUUAUUUGUAUUGAUGUUAAUCAUGUUUCGGAUUUGAAUUGAUUAUUCAAAAUUCGGGGCGUGACAGAGCACCUCAAGACUGACAUAGCCUCAUUCGCUUCCUCCCUCGGCCUCUCUACCUCUCUCCCUCCCUCUGAUUCUUCAGGCUUCAACGAUGUCGAUUUCCGCAACCCCAAAAAACCCCAGAACCGGAACACCCAGAAUUCCAAACCCCAAAAUCGAAACACCACCCAGAACUUCAAACCCAAUGAAAGGCCCAAUCUUUCGAAACCCCCUUUUCCUUCACUCCCUGAUGUCACCAGCAACAGUGAAAAAGCAAAGACCUUUGAGAAUCUUCCGAAGCUGCCGUUGAGUUCAGCCACCAACAUUGGAGUUUGGUACGAAGAAGCUGAAGAAUUGGAAGGCAAAGUGGUCGGGAAGAUGAAGAAAGCCGAGGCAAGGAGUGGAGUGGUGAGGUGGCCAAGAAGAGAAAGCUUGGAGAGAGGUUGAUGGCACAGUACACGGCGGAUUACGAGGCUUCGAAAGGGAAGAGUGGGGAUAUCAAGUUGUUGCUGACCACACAGAGGUCAGGGACUGCUUCUGAUAAGAUUUCGGCGUUUUCGGUGUUGGUUGGGGAUGAUCCCAUUGCCAAUUUGAGGUCUUUGGAUGCACUUUUAGGUAAUCUUUUGUUUGCUGAUAUGUGUUACAUUUUGCGGAAGACUAAGUUACUUGAAAAAGAUAGAGAAGAUCAAUCUGUGGAGAGGGAGAGAGAGAAAAGCAUAAAGAAAUUGAAAAAAGAGAGAGAAGAUCGAUCUGUGGAGAGGGAGAGAGAGAAAAGCAGAAAAAAUAAAUAAAAAAAGAGAGAGAAAUUGAAAAAAGAGAGAGAAAAAAAUAAAAAAAGGAUCUUGGGAGUAGAAUAGUCAUUUUAGACCUGUUUUGGACUUGUUGUGUGAGAAUUAGAAAGAAUAAGGACUAUCUAGUUUAAUUUGAAAGGCGAGGGACUAAACUGUUUUUCAGGCAAAAGUUUGAGGAGUAACAAGUAUUUAUUUAUCUAUAUACUAUAAUUAAA